AUUGAACGCUGGCGGCAUGCCUUACACAUGCAAGUCGAACGGCAGCGGGGGAGAAGCUUGCUUUUCCUGCCGGCGAGUGGCGAACGGGUGAGUAAUACAUCGGAACGUGCCCUGUAGUGGGGGAUAACUAGUCGAAAGAUUAGCUAAUACCGCAUACGACCUGAGGGUGAAAGUGGGGGACCGCAAGGCCUCAUGCUAUAGGAGCGGCCGAUGUCUGAUUAGCUAGUUGGUGGGGUAAAGGCCUACCAAGGCGACGAUCAGUAGCUGGUCUGAGAGGACGCUCAGCCACACUGGGACUGCGACACGGCCCAGACUCCUACGGGAGGCAGCAGUGGGGAAUUUUGGACAAUGGGCGAAAGCCUGAUCCAGCAAUGCCGCGUGUGUGAAGAAGGCCUUCGGGUUGUAAAGCACUUUUGUCCGGAGAGAAAUGGCUCUGGUUAAUACCUGGGGUCGAUGACGGUACCGGAAGAAUAGGGACCGGCUAACUACGUGCCAGCCGCCGCCGUAA
RNAcentral lists this ribosomal RNA (508 nucleotides) under uncultured bacterium. RNAcentral's name for it is "partial 16S ribosomal RNA". It matches the Rfam family "Bacterial small subunit ribosomal RNA", at positions 30 to 523 of the family's 1533-position model. The record is from RNAcentral.